RNAcentral lists this ribosomal RNA (811 nucleotides) under uncultured Weissella sp. RNAcentral's name for it is "bacterial SSU rRNA". It matches the Rfam family "Bacterial small subunit ribosomal RNA", at positions 31 to 796 of the family's 1533-position model. Lineage: Bacteria; Bacillati; Bacillota; Bacilli; Lactobacillales; Lactobacillaceae. The record is from RNAcentral.
GAACGCUGGCGGCGUGCCUAAUACAUGCAAGUCGAACGCAUUGUGGUUGAAAUGAUAUGAAGAACUUGUUCAGAUUUGAUUUUCAACAUUGCAAUGAGUGGCGAACGGGUGAGUAACACGUGGGAAACCUACCUCUUAGCAGGGGAUAACAUUUGGAAACAAAUGCUAAUACCGUAUAAUAAUUAAAACCGCAUGGUUUUAGUUUAAAAGAUGGUCUUGCUAUCACUAAGAGAUGGUCCCGCGGUGUAUUAGUUAGUUGGUGAGGUAAUGGCUCACCAAGACAAUGAUACAUAGCCGAGUUGAGAGACUGACCGGCCACAAUGGGACUGAGACACGGCCCAUACUCCUACGGGAGGCAGCAGUAGGGAAUCUUCCACAAUGGACGAAAGUCUGAUGGAGCAACGCCGCGUGUGUGAUGAAGGGUUUCGGCUCGUAAAACACUGUUGUAAGAGAAGAAUGACAUUGAGAGUAACUGUUCAAUGUGUGACGGUAUCUUACCAGAAAGGAACGGCUAAAUACGUGCCAGCAGCCGCGGUAAUACGUAUGUUCCAAGCGUUAUCCGGAUUUAUUGGGCGUAAAGCGAGCGCAGACGGUUAUUUAAGUCUGAAGUGAAAGCCCUCGGCUCAACCGAGGAAUUGCUUUGGAAACUGGAUAACUUGAGUGCAGUAGAGGAAAGUGGAACUCCAUGUGUAGCGGUGAAAUGCGUAGAUAUAUGGAAGAACACCAGUGGCGAAAGCGGCUUUCUGGACUGUAACUGACCUUGAGGCUCGAAAGUGUGGGUAGCAAACAGGAUUAGAUACCCUGGUAGUCC